This 253-nucleotide ribosomal RNA is filed under the name uncultured bacterium. Its description in RNAcentral is "partial 16S ribosomal RNA". It matches the Rfam family "Bacterial small subunit ribosomal RNA", at positions 524 to 776 of the family's 1533-position model. The record is from RNAcentral.
UACGAAGGGGGCUAGCGUUGCUCGGAAUCACUGGGCGUAAAGGGUUCGUAGGCGGUGUAGCAAGUCGGGAGUGAAAUCUCUGGGCUCAACCCAGGGGCUGCUUCCGAAACUGCUGUGCUAGAGUGUGGGAGAGGCGCGUGGAAUUGCAGGUGUAGCGGUGAAAUGCGUAGAUAUCUGCAGGAACACCCGUGGCGAAAGCGGCGCGCUGGACCACUACUGACGCUGAGGAACGAAAGCUAGGGGAGCAAACAGG